GAUGAACGCUGGCGGCGUGCCUAAUACAUGCAAGUCGAGCGAACAGACGAGGAGCUUGCUCCUCUGACGUUAGCGGCGGACGGGUGAGUAACACGUGGAUAACCUACCUAUAAGACUGGGAUAACUUCGGGAAACCGGAGCUAAUACCGGAUAAUAUAUUGAACCGCAUGGUUCAAUAGUGAAAGACGGUUUUGCUGUCACUUAUAGAUGGAUCCGCGCCGCAUUAGCUAGUUGGUAAGGUAACGGCUUACCAAGGCAACGAUGCGUAGCCGACGGGAGAGGGUGGUAGGCCACAUGGGAACGGAGCCAGGGUCCAGGCUCCUACGGGAGGCAGCAGUAGGGAAUCGUCCGCAAUGGGCGAAAGCCUGGCGGAGCAACGCCGCGUGAGUGAUGAAGGUCUUCGGAUCGUAAAACUCUGUUAUUAGGGAAGAACAAAUGUGUAAGUAACUAUGCACGUCUUGACGGUACCUAAUCAGAAAGCCACGGCUAACUACGUG
Molecule: ribosomal RNA, 497 nt
Filed under: uncultured bacterium
Lineage: Bacteria
Description: partial 16S ribosomal RNA
Rfam family: Bacterial small subunit ribosomal RNA
Source: RNAcentral